AGCGGCGGACGGGUGAGUAAUGCCUGGGAAAUUGCCCUGAUGUGGGGGAUAACCAUUAGAAACGAUGGCUAAUACCGCAUAAUAGCUUCGGCUCAAAGAGGGGGACCUUCGGGCCUCUCGCGUCAGGAUAUGCCCAGGUGGGAUUAGCUAGUUGGUGAGGUAAUGGCUCACCAAGGCGACGAUCUCUAGCUGGUCUGGGAGGAUGAUCAGCCACACUGGAACUGAGACACGGUCCAGACUCCUACGGGAGGCAGCAGUGGGGAAUAUUGCACAAUGGGCGCAAGCCUGAUGCAGCCAUGCCGCGUGUAUGAAGAAGGCCUUCGGGUUGUAAAGUACUUUCAGCAGUGAGGAAGGUGGGUAUGUUAAUAGCAUAUUCAUUUGACGUUAGCUGCAGAAGAAGCACCGGCUAACUCCGUGCCAGCAGCCGCGGUAAUACGGAGGGUGCGAGCGUUAAUCGGAAUUACUGGGCGUAAAGCGCAUGCAGGUGGUUUGUUAAGUCAGAUGUGAAAGCCCGGGGCUCAACCUCGGAAUUGCAUUUGAAACUGGCAAA
RNAcentral lists this ribosomal RNA (550 nucleotides) under uncultured bacterium. RNAcentral's name for it is "bacterial SSU rRNA". It matches the Rfam family "Bacterial small subunit ribosomal RNA", at positions 94 to 640 of the family's 1533-position model. The record is from RNAcentral.